RNAcentral lists this ribosomal RNA (253 nucleotides) under uncultured bacterium. RNAcentral describes it as "partial 16S ribosomal RNA". It matches the Rfam family "Bacterial small subunit ribosomal RNA", at positions 524 to 776 of the family's 1533-position model. The record is from RNAcentral.
UACGGGGGGGGCAAGCGUUGUUCGGAAUUACUGGGCGUAAAGGGCUCGUAGGCGGCCAACUAAGUCAGACGUGAAAGCCCCGGGCUCAACCUGGGAACUGCAUUGGAAACUAACGGGCUCGAGUGUGGCAGAGGGGGGUGGAAUUCCACGUGUAGCAGUGAAAUGCGUAGAGAUGUGGAGGAACACCGAUGGCGAAGGCAGCCCCCUGGGCUAACACUGACGCUCAGGCACGAAAGCGUGGGGAGCAAACAGG